RNAcentral lists this ribosomal RNA (374 nucleotides) under uncultured bacterium. RNAcentral's name for it is "bacterial SSU rRNA". It matches the Rfam family "Bacterial small subunit ribosomal RNA", at positions 29 to 404 of the family's 1533-position model. The record is from RNAcentral.
AUUGAACGCUGGCGGCAUGCCUUACACAUGCAAGUCGAACGGCAGCACGGGAGCAAUCCUGGUGGCGAGUGGCGAACGGGUGAGUAAUACAUCGGAACGUGCCCAGUAGUGGGGGAUAGCCCGGCGAAAGCCGGAUUAAUACCGCAUACGACCUACGGGUGAAAGCGGGGGAUCGCAAGACCUCGCGCUAUUGGAGCGGCCGAUGGCAGAUUAGGUAGUUGGUGAGGUAAAGGCUCACCAAGCCAACGAUCUGUAGCUGGUCUGAGAGGACGACCAGCCACACUGGGACUGAGACACGGCCCAGACUCCUACGGGAGGCAGCAGUGGGGAAUUUUGGACAAUGGGCGCAAGCCUGAUCCAGCCAUGCCGCGUGC